Molecule: long non-coding RNA, 1844 nt
Organism: Triticum aestivum (bread wheat)
Lineage: Eukaryota; Viridiplantae; Streptophyta; Magnoliopsida; Poales; Poaceae
Exons: 2
Source: RefSeq, a predicted model, not a curated record
GGAUCGAUGCAAUGUCUGUGCAUGAUUCUAACCAAUCCAGUGUGAUAAACCUAACCACGGGGGCGAUCUCAGGCAAUGAAGUAGAAAAUGGUCGUGCUACUAUUGAUUGGUCAAGCCUUGUGAUUGAACCAGAAAAUGAUGGGGAUGAAAAACCGCCGGACGAGAAAGCCAUGUUUGCUCUGUUUGGUUUAAAAACAGAGCCGGAUGAGAGAGCAACUGCCGUUCCUACUCCUGAUGUGGAGUCUGACUUACAUGAUAUCAAAGAUGCAGAUAUUGUUGUUGAUGAUAAGGCGCCAGAGGAGCCACUUAUUGCCUGGGAUGAACGAAACCCAGCCAUGGAUAUAGGGACACCUUAUCCUAACAUGGUUGAAUUUAGAAAGGCUUUAAAACAGUGGGCGGUCAAUGGAGAGUUUGAAUAUGGCACCCAAAAAAAUGAGCCAGGGAGGUUUCGGGCUUUUUGCAAAGGUCAUUCCAUAAUAGGUGACCCUUGCAACUGGGCUUUAACUGCUAGUUGGCAAAGGGAUGAAAAUUGUGUGAUGGUAACUGCCUUUUUGCUGCUAGGGCAUAUAGGCCGGAAGAAUAUCAACAUCACAUGGCAAAGGUAUUUGAUGCAUCUGAGAAAGUAUAUCCUUACCUUAGGGAUUACCAUAAUCUGUUAUGGAUGAGGUGCAUGUUCAACCCUGCCAUCAAGUGUGACUACAUAAAUAACAAUCUCGCCGAGUGCUUCAACUCUUGGGUGCGAGAUAUCAAGGACUUGCCGAUUGUUCAGCUAGCUGACAAGAUUAGAGAGAUGAUUAUGGAACUAUUUAGAAAAAGAAGAAUGAUUGGAGAAAGAUUUACAGGGAUAAUACUUCCAUUUGUCAUACACCAACUAAAUGCAAAGACUCGAGGACUAGGUCAUCUCAAGGCUAAAGCAUCAGCUGAUUGGAGUGGGGAAGUGAAAAAUGCUAACAAAGAGGAUGAAAGACAUGUGGUCAAAACUCUCACACAUGAAUGUACAUGUCUGCAAUGGCAGCACACGGGCAAGCCUUGCGACCAUGCACUAGCCUUCAUAAAUGUCUUGCAAGCUCGCAACUUUGUUAACAUGGAGGACUAUGUACAUGAGUACUACUCAGUUAGCCAUAUGAAGGUGUAAUUGAACCCCUUACGGACAAGAAUCAAUGGCCACACGUGGACACAGGCUUUGUGUUGCGUCCACCAAUUCCAAUAGGCAAGAAGAAAGGUGCUGGAAGAACAAGAAAACAGAGGAUAAAGAGUUGGUGGGAAGGUGGAUCAAGGAAAGGAUCCUUGAACAAAUGCAAAAAAUGUGGGGAGAUAGAACAUAGAGAAGCUGGUUGUCCUCAAAAUGGAACAAAGAAAAGAAAAAGUAGGGGGGAAAAGAAUCCAUCUCCAUGGUUUGAUGUUUCCGUUAGCAAUGCCGUUCCAUCUACACCAACCAAGAGCAAGAAUGAUGCCACUUGUAGCAGUCCUGGAGCUGUCACAAGAAGCCAAGCUGCAGCUCAAGCUAGUCCUGGACCUGUCACAAGGAGCCAAGCUGCUACCCCACCACCAAAACCUCCAGCAAAAGGAAAGAAGAAGAAAAUGACACCUAAGAAGAAGAAAUUAAGCGACCUGUGAGCUUGUUUGUGGCUGUGAUGAACUUGGCUGUUAGUGGAGACUAACUUUUAUUGUUGUGUAUGUGAGAUGCAAACUCACUUUUAUUUGGUCUGUAAGUGAGGUAGAGACUCACUUUUAUUUCCUAUGUAUGUGAGGUAAAGACUCACUUAUUUUGCUGUCAUGAAGUCCUGUAGAACAUGGCUGAAUUAUUCUCUAUGCUAUCAUUGAAUCAUUGUGACCCUAUAUUA